RNAcentral lists this unclassified non-coding RNA (515 nucleotides) under Hevea brasiliensis (rubber tree). Lineage: Eukaryota; Viridiplantae; Streptophyta; Magnoliopsida; Malpighiales; Euphorbiaceae. The record is from RNAcentral.
GAAGAAUAAGAAAAAGGAAGAGGAUUUCUAGCCCAAAAAUCCCAUUUCGAUUCUCAAUAUGGCCUUCUCUGCAGCCAUCCCCGCCUACGAGAAUUCACUUCUUCUCAAGAAAUCCUCCUUCAAUGGCCUCAGGAACCUCUCUAAAGCUAUCCCAUGUAGCCACCUCAAGUUUCUUGCGCCUAUGAAGACGAAAGCAGCCACCCUGGUGGUUUCGGCAUCAAGCUCCUCCGUGGCGCAGCCACUUGAGGAAGCUCAAGAAUCCAUCAACGAUAUGUCACCAAAGAUCCAUCUUCCUGAAUUCCCAUUUCAGGAAUACAUGGCCACUAAAGCCAAGCAUGUCAAUAAGGCACUAGACGAGGCUAUUCCUCAGCAACAUCCCUUGAAAAUCCAUGACGCUAUGAGAUAUUCUCUUCUAGCCGGCGGCAAACGUGUCCGUCCAGUCUUGUGUAUUGCUGCUUGCGAGUUGGUUGGAGGAGAUGAGGCAACAGCUAUGCCAGCGGCUUGUGCAAUGGAGA